ACCCCAGGUCAGGCGGGACUACCCGCUGAGUUUAAGCAUAUAAAUAAGCGGAGGAGAAGAAACUUACAAGGAUUCCCCUAGUAACGGCGAGCGAACCGGGAAUAGCCCAGCUUGAAAAUCGGGUAACUUUGUUGCCCGAAUUGUAGUCUGGAGAAGCGUCA
This 161-nucleotide ribosomal RNA is filed under the name Megathyrsus maximus. RNAcentral describes it as "partial large subunit ribosomal RNA". It matches the Rfam family "Eukaryotic large subunit ribosomal RNA", at positions 1 to 163 of the family's 3401-position model. Lineage: Eukaryota; Viridiplantae; Streptophyta; Magnoliopsida; Poales; Poaceae. The record is from RNAcentral.